CUGGAUUUCACACCCACCUCCCUCCGAGGCUCCGCCUCCGAGCACCACCAAACCCUAGAUCUCGCACCGGCGGCGGCGGCGGCAGCAGCAGCCAUGGCCAAGCCCUGGGGCGGCGUCGGCGCGUGGGCGCUGGACGCCGAGCGCGCCGAGGAGGAGGAGGAGCGCGAGCGCGCCGCGGCCGUCCCGCCGCCCGAGCCCGCCGGCGGCGCCGCCAGCUUCCCCAGCCUCCGCGAGGCGGCCGCGGCCGGCGGGGGCAAGUCCAAGAAGAAGAACAAGGGCACCACCCUCUCGUUCUCCGAGUUCACCACCUACGGCGCGGCCGCGGCCCAGCGCCGCGCCGCGCCCGUGGAGCCCAGGGGCCUCACCCCGGACGAGAUGAUGAUGCUGCCCACGGGGCCCCGGGAGCGCUCCGCCGAGGAGCUCGACCGCUCCCGCGGCUUCCGCUCCUACGGCGGCGGCGGGUUCGGCGGCCCCGGCGGAGGCGAGCGCCGCGGGUUCGACGACGAGGGCCGCCGCGGGCCGGGCCGGAGCUCGGAUCUCGACAUGCCCUCCCGCGCCGAUGAGGUCGACGACUGGGGGGCCACUAAGAAGUUCACCCCGGCGGCCACCGACUCUGGCCGCCGCGACAGGUUCGGCGGGCCGUCCCCGCUCGGCCACGCGGAUGACAUCGACGACUGGUCGCGCGACAAGAAGCCGCUCCCGUCGCGCUACCCCAGCCUCGGUUCUGGUGGCGCCGGCGGUGGGUUCCGCAGCUCGUCCGGCUUCCGCGACUCACCGGGCUUCCGUGACUCAACGGCUUCCUCUGAUUCCGACCGUUGGGUCCGUGGAGCCACCCCUAUGCCACACAACGGCGAGGGGGCGGGGGAGAGGCCGCGCAUCGUUCUCAAUCCUCCGAAACGUGAUCCUGCAGCUACAUCUUCGCCGCCUGCCGAGGUGGCACGCAACCGGCCAAGCCCAUUUGGGGCUGCAAGGCCCCGGGAGGAUGUGCUGGCCGAGAAGGGAGUUGAUUGGAGGAAGUUCGAGAGUGAGAUUGAGCAGAAGACCAGUCGGCCUACCAGCUCGCACUCCAGCAGGCCAAAUAGUGCGCAUUCCUCCCGCCCUGGGAGCCCUGGAUCACAGGUUUCAGUGGUUGGAAGUGAGGGGGCACCCAGGGCACGGCCAAAGUUUAAUCCUUUCGGUGAUGCCAAGCCAAGGGAAGUUGUUUUGCAGGAGAAAGGGAAAGAUUGGAGGAAGAUUGACCUUGAGCUGGAGCAUCGUGCUGUAAAUAGGUCAGAGUCCGAUGAAGAAAGAAAUUUGAAAGAAGAAAUCAACCUUAUGAAGGUGGAUCUGAAAGAAAUCGAGGGAAAGAUAAGUGAUGGUUCUGACCAAGCCUCGGUAGAUGCCAAAAAUUUGUCUGAGAAGAUAUCUCAGUUGGAAAGUCAACUUGAGCAGCUUACAAGGGAGUUGGAUGACAAGAUUCGAUUUGCGCAAAGACCGCGUUCUGGUGCAGGCAGGGUUGCAGUGCAUCCACCAACCAGUUUAGCGGAGGAACCACAAGCUACAGUUGUGGACAGACCGCGUUCUCGUGGUGGUAUGGAACCACCUCACCCAAGGCAGGAAGAAAGAUGGGGAUUUCAAGGAAGCAGAGAAAGGGGCUCUUUUGGUGGAAGCAGAAGUUCAGAUAGGUUUGUGCAGUUUGCUUCCUUAACUUGAUCUUGCGUGCUUUCAUAAAUCAAGAUAAUUUUGUCCAGAAAAUUGUUUUUUAGAAAGUAGUACUGUAGUAGCAUGGGUAAAGUUUGAAUGGUUCAGCGCGAUAUAGUUUACAUGCCCGUAAAAUAUAUACUUUCCAACACAUUUACUGUUAGCUCAACCAAUCUGGUCAGACUGAUUUUGUUACUUGAUUAAUGUACGCUGGUGAAUUUUAAAUAUUCUUAGGUAUGCAAUUAGUCCAUUAACCAUGAUUGGCAUAAUAAUCCUUCUGAUAUUAUUGCUUGGAGUCCAGUGUGAGUGCGUGUUCUGUAUGACACUAUGACUACCCCUCUUUACUGUAUACUGCAGUUCUCAAAAUAGUACAAGGCUGUGCCAUUUAGAUGCAAAUUAGUUGUCUUUGUUUUCUCAAGCAUUUAAACCAUGCACAGUUGCCAUUGGUUCUCAUCCA
Panicum virgatum (switchgrass) is the source of this 2137-nucleotide RNA transcript. It is a transcript of the gene named eukaryotic translation initiation factor 4B1-like, with no coding region annotated. The record is from RefSeq and is a predicted model, not a curated record. Lineage: Eukaryota; Viridiplantae; Streptophyta; Magnoliopsida; Poales; Poaceae. The transcript has 3 exons.